Molecule: ribosomal RNA, 253 nt
Filed under: uncultured bacterium
Lineage: Bacteria
Description: partial 16S ribosomal RNA
Rfam family: Bacterial small subunit ribosomal RNA
Source: RNAcentral
UACGAGGGGUGCAAGCGUUGUUCGGAAUCACUGGGCGUAAAGGGAGUGUAGGUGGAUCUUUAAGUCAGAUGUUUAAUUCCAAGGCCUAACCUUGGGUUUGCGUUUGAAACUGGGGAUCUUGAAUAAGUCAGAGGUAAGCAGAAUUCCUGGUGUAGCGGUGGAAUGCGUAGAUAUCAGGAGGAAUACCAAUUGCGAAGGCAGCUUACUGGGGCUAUAUUGACACUGAGGCUCGAAAGUGUGGGUAGCGAACAGG